GACGAACGCUGGCGGCGUGCUUAACACAUGCAAGUCGAACGGAAAGGCCCUGCUUUUGUGGGGUGCUCGAGUGGCGAACGGGUGAGUAACACGUGAGUAACCUGCCCUUGACUUUGGGAUAACUUCAGGAAACUGGGGCUAAUACCGGAUAGGAGCUCCUGCUGCAUGGUGGGGGUUGGAAAGUUUCGGCGGUUGGGGAUGGACUCGCGGCUUAUCAGCUUGUUGGUGUGGUAGUUGCUUACCAAGGCUUUGACGGGUAGCCGGCCUGAGAGGGUGACCGGCCACAUUGGGACUGAGAUACGGCCCAGACUCCUACGGGAGGCAGCAGUGGGGAAUAUUGCACAAUGGGCGGAAGCCUGAUGCAGCAACGCAGCGUGCGGGAUGACGGCCUUCGGGUUGUAAACCGAUUUCGCAUGUGACGAAGCGUGAGUGACGGUAAUGGGUAAAGAAGCACCGGCUAACUACGUG
RNAcentral lists this ribosomal RNA (468 nucleotides) under uncultured bacterium. RNAcentral's name for it is "partial 16S ribosomal RNA". It matches the Rfam family "Bacterial small subunit ribosomal RNA", at positions 28 to 507 of the family's 1533-position model. The record is from RNAcentral.